RNAcentral lists this ribosomal RNA (329 nucleotides) under uncultured eukaryote. RNAcentral describes it as "partial 18S ribosomal RNA". It matches the Rfam family "Eukaryotic small subunit ribosomal RNA", at positions 1470 to 1796 of the family's 1831-position model. The record is from RNAcentral.
CCCUUAGAUGUCCUGGGCCGCACGCGCGCUACACUGAGUGUCUGAGAUACGAGUCUGCCUGGUCCGGCAAGGUCUAGGUAAUCGCUAAAAGACACAUCAUGCUUGGGAUAGAUUAUUGCAAAUAUUAAUCUUGAACGAGGAAUUCCUAGUAAGCGCAAGUCAACAGCUUGCGUUGAUUACGCCCCUGCCCUUUGUACACACCGCCCGUCGCUACUACUGAUUGGAUGUUUAAGCGAGGUUCUCGAACUGCUAGCGACUUAGCUUCGGUGAGGUCGCAGUGUGGGAAGUGAACCUAGCUUUGGUGUCUAGAGGAAGUAAAAGUCGUAACA